GCUUGGUCGGGAGGGUUUCUUUCUUCCUUUUUUUUUUUUUUUUUUUUUUUUAAAUUCGCGGUCCGCCCCACGCCCGCUGGCUCCCUCACACUUUCCGCCGCCGCCCUCGCGGGUCCCGGGCUCUGUGGCUUCCCACGUCUCUAGCUUGCGGGUGUCGGUACCGGCCCCGGAGGGGACUUGGAGCAGGGGCCCGGAGCAGCCCCGGGGAGGGGACUGUUGCGAGUCUGGGGCCCCGCUCCGGGGACUAGGACGCUGGGGACCCCCGCCCCCGCCCCCCGGACUCGCCCCCGAGUGGGGGCCCAGGCUCCCGGCUCUACAACAGCCGGCCAGCAAACAGCGUCGCUGAGCACCUGCUCUGAUACUUAGGCGCAGCCGAGCUUCACACAGCCCUACUGUGUGCCGGGGGCCGUGCCGCACGCUGGGGCCUCCCUGCGCCUCGGGGCCACGCGCCGAGACCCGCGCGAGAGCCACGGGCGAGCAAGCCCCUCUCCCACAAGCGCCGGCCCCCUGCCGGGGCGCCGCGUGCGGACGCAAACUUCUCUCCGGGCUUUGAUGGCGCGGACCGACGCUAGCUAGCGCCCCGGGGCACGGCGGAAGGCCCUGCCCGCAAGUCCGAGCUCAGGCUCACUCCUGGGCUGCAAGGGCUCGCUCCCGGAGCCUCGCCGCACCAGCGCGGCUGUGCGCACGGGCACGGGCACAGUCACCCGCAGGCGCGCCCGACGCGUGCCCAGGCAGAGGCCGAGAGGAACGGGCGCAGACACCAGCCCCGGGCGCGGUCCCUGACGCGCUCACGCACUCUCGCAGGUCCCCCAGCUCGCACGGAGGUGCUGGCGAGGGGGACACAGGGACCCACACGGACUCCCGGACUUCACGUGGCCCUAGGAGAGCCCCAAGGACUGGUGGUUCCCUCAAAGGGGAAGCGAAGUUUCAGAGAAAAAAUCUGAGAAGAAAUAGAUGAAACGUAGAACCCAGAGGCUGAUGCUCACCCAUCUUUCCUGUCCUCCAACAUGGAAGAAAGUUAUGGUACUGUUGUAAACCCAAUCCCAAAGUCUGUUGCUAUGGAACUCUAUUCUCAUGGGGUGAAAAUGAAUGCUCUGCCUUGCCUAAGGACAUGGACGGAGUUGGCAAAAGUAGGAGAGAGGAGAACUCUUGAGUUUUCUUAGGCUUGCUGUCUCUUCAGAGUUAGGCUUCUUCUGGCUUCCAGUUCUGAGAAGCAAGAUGGAAGACAACAAUUCUAUUUUAGAUUGCUGAAGGAAAAGACUUUAGGAAGAAGCUGACAGACUCCAUGUCCCUCUCCUCAGCUUGCUACAUUAGAGGUUUGGGGGAAUUUCCCUUUGGGUGACAUGUAGGACUUUCUUUUUCUUUUCCUUGGUUAAACUGAAUUGCCCCAAUUCCAGUGGAUAAGCUCCUUUAUUCCAUAUUGUCUGGUCUAUAUUCUCUUAAGUAUACUUUCUCUCAAUUGUUUUGCUAUUGAAUUGGAUGAAUGGGUUUCUUUGAUAAUUGCUAAAUGUAUUCAUUGAGGGACUGGUAUUUGGU
This 1536-nucleotide long non-coding RNA is filed under the name Sarcophilus harrisii (Tasmanian devil). RNAcentral describes it as "lncRNA (ENSSHAG00000020758.1)". Lineage: Eukaryota; Metazoa; Chordata; Mammalia; Dasyuromorphia; Dasyuridae. The record is from RNAcentral.